GAUGAACGCUGGCGGCGUGCCUAAUACAUGCAAGUAGAACGCUGAAGGAAGGAGCUUGCUCUUUCCGGAUGAGUUGCGAACGGGUGAGUAACGCGUAGGUAACCUGCCUGGUAGCGGGGGAUAACUAUUGGAAACGAUAGCUAAUACCGCAUAACAGUAGAUGUUGCAUGAUAUCUACUUAAAAGGUGCAAUUGCACCACUACCAGAUGGACCUGCGUUGUAUUAGCUAGUUGGUGAGGUAACGGCUCACCAAGGCGACGAUACAUAGCCGACCUGAGAGGGUGAUCGGCCACACUGGGACUGAGACACGGCCCAGACUCCUACGGGAGGCAGCAGGAGGGAAUCUUCGGCAAUGGACGGAAGUCUGACCGAGCAACGCCGCGUGAAUGAAGAAGGUUUUCGGAUCGUAAAGCUCUGUUGUAAGAGAAGAAAGAGUGUGAGAGUGGAAAGUUCACACUGUGACGGUAUCUUACCAGAAAGGGACGGCUAACUACGUG
Molecule: ribosomal RNA, 497 nt
Filed under: uncultured bacterium
Lineage: Bacteria
Description: partial 16S ribosomal RNA
Rfam family: Bacterial small subunit ribosomal RNA
Source: RNAcentral